AUUCCAGCUCCAAUAGCGUAUAUUAAAGUUGUUGCGGUUAAAAAGCUCGUAGUUGAACUUCUGCAGGGGACGACCGGUCUACCCACUGGGUUAGCAUCUGGCUCGGCCUCGGCUUCUUUCAGGCACAGGCUGCUGCACUUGAUUGUGUGGUGCCUACGUCUGAACCUUUACCUUGAAUAAAACAGAGUGUUCAAAGCAGGCUUUCGCCUGAAUGUAUCAGCAUGGAAUAAUUUUGUAGGACUUUGGUUCUAUUUUGUUGGUUUCUAGAGCUGAAGUAAUGGUUAAUAGGAAUAGUUGGGGGCAUUCGUAUUUAACUGUCAGAGGUGAAAUUCUUGGAUUUGUUAAAGACGAACUACUGCGAAAGCAUUUGCCAAAGAUGUUUUCAUUA
RNAcentral lists this ribosomal RNA (388 nucleotides) under Dinophyceae sp. Its description in RNAcentral is "partial small subunit ribosomal RNA". It matches the Rfam family "Eukaryotic small subunit ribosomal RNA", at positions 582 to 975 of the family's 1831-position model. Lineage: Eukaryota; Dinophyceae. The record is from RNAcentral.